GCCAGGGAUUGGCUGGCUCCCACUGCAGCCUGGCAGUCCUGGCAGUCCCUGGGACCCCGGCACUGCUGCAGCAAAUCCUCAGGGCAGCAUGGCACUGCCCUGCAGGGCUGGCAGAGCCCCAGGGCUGGAGUGGGUGCAUCACUGCAGCCUCGGGCUCAGGACACCCACUCCUGCGCGUCGUAGAGCCCCAGUCCUGCUCUGGCAGAGACAGCACCACCAGGAGUUAAGGCGAAAGUGAAAAUGAGCGAACGGCUUCAGAAUCUUCUAAACUAUCCGCUGACCCACCCCUUCCUGACGGGGUAUUUCUGGCCGACGCCCUUGGUUGUCGGAGCACAGUAGGCACAAAAAGAUUGGUGGCAGGUUGGUGGCCUGGGGUGCCGCGGUCCCGCGAUACCAGGAUUAGAGCAGACUCAUCGCAGCUCUCGCUCCCGGCCAGCCCACCAUGCUUCCAGUUCCAGUCAUCCUUGCAAUUAUAAAGGUCGUUGGAUUAGCUGUAGUCACGGCAGGAAUUACAGUUAUAGCGGUAUGCAAAGACAAGUUAACCAUCAAAGCAAAGAACAGAUAUUAUUCCUUCUAUUUUCAAGCUGUGGGGAAACACAAGGACUGACUCUGCCCUCUAAGCAGCAGCAGACAUCAUGCUGUCUGUUGGAAGAACUGCUGGUGCCCACUGCCAUCAAACAGAAAGUGAUUUCCUUCCUUCCAACUGGCUUGAUUCCUGUCUUCCCACUACUGGAACUGGAAAGCCUUGAGACCGCCAGCUGCCCCUUCAAAAGAUUUGGAUUGCCUUGAGCAAAAAAUGCUAUUGAAAACUUUAAUAAAAGUGCAUUGCUUUUGUGGGUGUGUGUGGUGGUGCCUGGUGUACAUCAUGGCUCAGGUUCCUGCCCUGCCGCUGGGGAUGUGCUGUGCUCCAGGAAGGGCUUGUACAGGCAGUGUUUCCAGCCUUGCUCCCUGUCCCCCUACACAGCCAGGGGCUGGCUCCCGGGCUGCUGGCAGAGCAUCCUGGGUGGAGCAUGGCUUGCACCACAAGCUCUCGGGGCUUUGGAGACCUGCUCUUUUCCUGGGGGCUCUUCUACUGGGGGGCUUUGUUGUGCUUUUCUUUGGGGCUUGGUGACUUUGAGGCAUUUUGAGUUUGGGGGCUGGUGAGCCUUGUGUUUUUGCUUUGGCUCCAGCCUGCUGAGCUUCUGUGCUUCUUUGCCCUGGCCCUAGCCCGCUUUUUGUCCUUUUUGCCCUUACUCUCAGCCUGCCUUUUGGCUCUUCUGCCCUGGCGGGCUCUCACUCGCCGUGGCGUCUGUCCCGCCUCCCUGUGUCCCUGCCCGCCGCCCUGCCGCUCUGUCCCUGAGUUCCUGCCUCAGCCACCUGCGUCCCACCCUGCUCUCCUCCCACCCAGCCCACCGUGCCGCCCGAUCCCCGCCGUGCCCCUGUCCGGGCUCCCGCACCUCCUGCCCCAGCGCCCGCUCAGUGCCCGCGGGUCCGGCCGCAGGGAGCCGCAGCACAUCCUGUGAGCAUCGACGGCACUCCCCAUCUGCUCCUGCUCGCUCCCGACAUUUGUCUUCGGCUUCCUCUCUUUCGCUCUCCACCCUCGCCUUUUCCGUUUUCCUUUCUCCUUUGUCUUUCCUAGCACUUUUUAGUAGGGUAAUUUCUUUUUUUGUUUGUUUUUUCGUUAUCAAUAAACACUUUUCAGAUACACUGUUGUCUCAGUUGACUUAACUUCAUUCCGGAUCAUCUAUUUUUAAAAUAAUUCUUCACACUUUCCCAGAUUAGAAAGCCACAGGCUCCCUGCAGGGACAGCCCCAAGGUCCAGUGUCCUGGAGAUGGGGGAGCCCCAGCCCUGCUCAAGCAGAGACAGCAAAAUCAAGAAUUGAUGAGAAAGAAAGUGAAACUCAGUGAUUGAGCAAUUUCUCAUUCAUUACCUGUCAUUCAUUCCCUUUUGGGCUCUUUCCUGCAGCCCUUUGACCCUCAGAGCACAGGAGACACAGGACAGGUACGGGGAUUAGGGCAGACUCAUUGCAGCUCUUCCUCCUGCCUAGCUGACCAUGGUACUGAGAUUCAGGCGAAAUCGGACUUCUGCAUGAAUGCCGAGGGUGCACGUCUCCAUGCUGGGGAACAAAAGCAAGAUUCCUUCCUUCCAAGCACUGGACUCGUCUUCAAAUGGCCAGUGCCGAAAUGUCAAAUCCCUUCCACAGCUUCUGCUUUAAAUGGCAAACGCCCCGUGA
This is a long non-coding RNA of Serinus canaria (Common canary), 2213 nucleotides long. RefSeq lists it as uncharacterized. The record is from RefSeq and is a predicted model, not a curated record. Lineage: Eukaryota; Metazoa; Chordata; Aves; Passeriformes; Fringillidae. The transcript has 9 exons.